Molecule: non-coding RNA, 30 nt
Filed under: Actinoplanes sp. SE50/110
Lineage: Bacteria; Bacillati; Actinomycetota; Actinomycetes; Micromonosporales; Micromonosporaceae
Source: RNAcentral
AAUGCAGGUCGUCGGGCCGGGUGUCGCGGC